RNAcentral lists this ribosomal RNA (633 nucleotides) under Kineosporia sp. Ri1Pw_5728. RNAcentral's name for it is "bacterial SSU rRNA". It matches the Rfam family "Bacterial small subunit ribosomal RNA", at positions 382 to 1024 of the family's 1533-position model. The record is from RNAcentral. Lineage: Bacteria; Bacillati; Actinomycetota; Actinomycetes; Kineosporiales; Kineosporiaceae.
CCUGACGCAGCGACGCCGCGUGAGGGAUGAAGGCCUUCGGGUCGUAAACCUCUUUCAGCAGGGAAGAAGCGCAAGUGACGGUACCUGCAGAAGAAGCACCGGCUAACUACGUGCCAGCAGCCGCGGUAAUACGUAGGGUGCAAGCGUUGUCCGGAAUUAUUGGGCGUAAAGAGCUCGUAGGCGGUCUGUCGCGUCUGCUGUGAAAACCUAGGGCUUAACUCUGGGCGUGCAGUGGGUACGGGCAGACUAGAGUGCGGUAGGGGAGACUGGAAUUCCUGGUGUAGCGGUGAAAUGCGCAGAUAUCAGGAGGAACACCGGUGGCGAAGGCGGGUCUCUGGGCCGUAACUGACGCUGAGGAGCGAAAGCAUGGGGAGCGAACAGGAUUAGAUACCCUGGUAGUCCAUGCCGUAAACGUUGGGCGCUAGGUGUGGGGUCCAUUCCACGGAUUCUGCGCCGCAGCUAACGCAUUAAGCGCCCCGCCUGGGGAGUACGGCCGCAAGGCUAAAACUCAAAGGAAUUGACGGGGGCCCGCACAAGCGGCGGAGCAUGCGGAUUAAUUCGAUGCAACGCGAAGAACCUUACCAAGGCUUGACAUGGGGUGAAAACUCGCAGAGAUGCGGGGUCCGCAAGGGC